UUACGGGGGUGAAGCAGUUCUGAGCAGUGGUUUUCUGCUCCUGAGAGAAACUUCUUUAGCAUUUGUGGUGGGACCAGUGGCCCCUUCCAGCAUCGCAAACCUCUCACAGUGUUUUCAUGGUCAAGGGAAUAGGACAGCGCCAACCCAGAGGAGGGUAAGAUGAGAAGAGAGCGCAGAGCUGUUUUGGGUGGAGGCUGCAGGAAGGCUGCUUUCGGCUUGUUGUAAGGAAGAAUUCUGUUCUAGUUGGAGACACACAGUGGAGGUUAUGGCAGGGAGAUGAGCUUCCCUGCCCCAGACGUGUGCAACUUCCAGCAGAGCUUCUUGUGCAGAGUGGGGCGUGCACUGGAUCCCUGCACCCACGUGCUGUGAGUCAGCGUCCGCCUGUGUCCCACCCCUGCGGCACACUCUCCCAGAGCUGCCCGCUGUGCUUGGGGUCACGCCGUGACUCCUGCCGCCACCUCCUAGGCCUUCUGUGAGUUGGCCCCAGGCUCACCUCUUGUCGUCCCACCACACCGCCAGCUGUCCAGGCCCUUCCCCUGGAAUCUCUUUUUCCUAAGCCCUGAGAAUGAAUCAGGUGUUUCCUCUUGUCCUUCCCACUUCUGAACACUACACUAUGAUUGUGACUCACAACGCUGGAAGCAGCCAGAGGACAGGGAAACGUCUGCUCGUCUGUCCCAGAGCCCUGCCUGGCACCUGGUGAGUGUUCAGUGUCUGACCUCCGCACACGGGAAAUGCACCCACCACACACCACCAAGGACUCAGAUGUGCUGCCUAUCAUUUGGACAUCAUCGUGGGAAUACAUAGGAGAGAGGGGGCCUCUGCUUGAGCAGUGAUGAGAGACUCACUCCCCACACUCCCCCCACACUUCCUCCAUCUUUGCUAAUAAUAAAAUGUUUUUUUUUAUGUUAA
Long non-coding RNA from Phyllostomus hastatus (greater spear-nosed bat), 909 nucleotides. RefSeq lists it as uncharacterized. NCBI's taxonomy places the organism in Eukaryota, Metazoa, Chordata, Mammalia, Chiroptera, Phyllostomidae. The transcript is spliced from 3 exons. The record is from RefSeq and is a predicted model, not a curated record.